UACGGAGGGAGCUAGCGUUGUUCGGAAUUACUGGGCGUAAAGCGCACGUAGGCGGCUAUUCAAGUCAGAGGUGAAAGCCCGGGGCUCAACUCCGGAAUUGCCUUUGAAACUAGAUAGCUUGAAUCAUGGAGAGGUGAGUGGAAUUCCGAGUGUAGAGGUGAAAUUCGUAGAUAUUCGGAAGAACACCAGUGGCGAAGGCGGCUCACUGGACAUGUAUUGACGCUGAGGUGCGAAAGCGUGGGGAGCAAACAGG
This 253-nucleotide ribosomal RNA is filed under the name uncultured bacterium. Its description in RNAcentral is "partial 16S ribosomal RNA". It matches the Rfam family "Bacterial small subunit ribosomal RNA", at positions 524 to 776 of the family's 1533-position model. The record is from RNAcentral.